Molecule: ribosomal RNA, 915 nt
Filed under: Triticum aestivum (bread wheat)
Lineage: Eukaryota; Viridiplantae; Streptophyta; Magnoliopsida; Poales; Poaceae
Description: partial small subunit ribosomal RNA
Source: RNAcentral
AUGAUCAAAACAGCCCUAGAGUAUAGGAGAGCAUUCAUCGCUAUGAAGUUGCAGGACACAACAUUUACAUGUCAACCUACAAAUGUUGAAUGGGAAACGGCACAAUCUGUUUGCAGCUUGUUAGAGCUUUUCCUUGACGCAACUAUGGUGGUAUCCGGUACAUUAUAUCCAACGGCUCAUUUGUAUUUCCACCAACUUUGGAAAAUUCAUCUAACAUUGCAAAGAGAGGCCAACCAGACCGAUAUUGUCAUCAAAUCCAUGGUUGAAGCAAUGCAAGAAAAGUUCAUGAAGUAUUGGAAGCUUUCAUUCUUGACCAUUUGUAUUCCGGUCAUACUCGAUCCAAGAUACAAGUUCAAAUUCUUGGAGUUUUGCUUGAAAUCUGGACUUGAAAGUGACGCAAUGAGAUAUCUUGCUAAAGUGAAGAGAACAUUCAAAGAUUUAUUUGUUGAAUAUUCUGUGCAUGAGGGUGACUCAAGUAUGGGAAAUGAUCAAGGAACCAGCAAUGUUGGUACAAGUACUGAUAACCCAUGGGAUCAAUGGAACAAGCAUGUUCAACAACAUCAACAAAAUCGAGCAAAGCUGAGUGAACUUGAUAUUUACCUAAAAGAUGAAAUUUGCCCGCAAGAAGAUGGCUUCGACAUACUAUCCUGGUGGUGCACAAAUGCACACAAGUACCCUAUAGUAUCUCGGAUAGCAAAGGAUGUACUGGCUGCACCUGCAUCUUCUGUAGCAUCAGAGUCAGCCUUCUCCACCGGAGGAAGGAUACUGAGUGACUAUAGGAGCAGAAUGAUAGAAACCACUGUAGAGGCAUUAAUCUGUCUACAAGAUUGGAUGCGACCUCGAGGAACUAAUCAUGUUGGCACGAUAAUAAACGAUGUUAUUUAUGGAACAGGUGCUGAUAUUGAUGCUCAUUGA